ACAGGCAGAGGGAGAAGCAGGCUCCCUGCGGGGAGUCCGAUGCGAGACUUGAUCCCAGGACCCCGGGAUCACGCCCUGAGCAGAAGGCAGAUGCUCACCCACUGAGCCCCCCGGCUGCCCCAGCCAUGGGUAUUUGUAUCUGAUGCCCUGUGAUGCUCCUGUGACCCGAGGAGCUCCCGCUCGGCUUGUUUGUUCAGGGCUCCAAUGUCUGCCUGGCUUUCUAGUUAAGUCUCUGUGCUCAACAUCACCAAGAUGCUGGACCCAAAGCCUAAAAUAUAAUGCAGAGCUUGGACGCUGAAGCUCACACAGCAGAAACACACCGGGGCAUAGGCAGUUCAAUGGAAGUAGUGGAUCUUGGGGUGACAACAGGCCCCACUGCUUGGUCACCUUAGCUUUGGUGCUAACCUUGAUUUUGUGUAUGUUUCUUUAAGUUCUAUUUUAAUGCUUCAGAAGCUUAAACAGGAAAAACAGGGAGCAGUUCUGAGAAGUAUUUUCACGUGAGGAUCUAAACACAGGGGUAACAACGGUGGCGGCUCAUCCCUCCUCUUCCAGGCCAGGCUUACACGUGUGCUGAGACACUGAUGCCCUCGGGCCUGGGGUGGCCACUCAGGUCCUGAGUGGCCUCCUCCAGUGACCCUGGCGUGCUGCACAGGUGUCUGAACUUUCCAGAUGUGGUCUGCACGCAUGAAGACGGAUGGCACAGAUGGUUCCAGGCCACACACACACAUACCCAGUUCUUACAGACCUCGAUCACCCCAGCAAGGACUUCUCGAAGCCAGAUUUCUCGUGGCUGCCAGCUUUCAGCUCCUGCUGACGCCCGCCUGGGACCUUCCAGUCGACAAUUCCUUCCGCCAUCCGAACGCUGCAGCAGCCGUGUGCGCUGCUCUAUGUUCUGUUGUCUGUCUCCAAGAGCUGCUGUGGGAUCAACACGCUCAGGCCUCAUGACAACCUUUAGGAUGCCUGAUUUAGGAACUCCUCAGAUGUUUAGAAAGGUAUCCUGGGAAUAUACUUCUAGUGCCAGCAAGCUUGACUGGCCAAGAACAGAGAGAAUAUUCCAUGAAAGAAGAACCAUCCCUUUUCCUGGCUUCUUGCCAGACCCCACAGGGAACUGGGUCAGCUGAACUGUCUCUAGCCCAAUGCAGUCUCUCCUUGUCAGUGUCCCAAAGUGUUACAUGGCAACAGUGGAAUAAUAGAUGGCUUUCAUCUUUGAAGGAGACGCAACGUUAUGGAGUCUUCCAAAAUUUUUCAGCAUUCCUUAGGAUUUUGCAACAGAGAGGAAUGAAAAGUGAUUCAAAGCAGGACAUCAUUUGUUGCAGACACUACUGCUUUCACAAUUCCACCUCACCUUUCGAAUAUUCUUAGUGGACCACUGUGUAAGCCUAACGAAGUGAAUACAUUUUGACAAGGAUGUGCACAAGACAACUUCAAAUGCAAGUGAUCUCUACACCCAAUGUGGGGUUUCAACUUACAACCCUGAGAUCAAGAGCCACAUGGUUUACCAACUGAGCCAGCCAGGUGCCUCCAUGUGGUGCAGGGCAGCACUAAAUUGUUCAAAGAAUGAGGAAGCCACAGAUGUACCGCUGAAUGAGGCGUUAACUCGCGGCAGAUGAAUGCAGAUGGGACACAGAGGGUGUGCUUUUUUGUUGAUGAUGAGUGCAAAUGCUGAAUAAUGAAUGCAAUAAAAAUUAGA
Molecule: long non-coding RNA, 1690 nt
Organism: Canis lupus familiaris (dog)
Lineage: Eukaryota; Metazoa; Chordata; Mammalia; Carnivora; Canidae
Exons: 6
Source: RefSeq, a predicted model, not a curated record